AGAACGAACGCUGGCGGCAUGCCUAAUACAUGCAAGUCGAACGAACACUUCGGUGUUAGUGGCGCACGGGUGCGUAACGCGUGGGAAUCUGCCCUUGGGUUCGGAAUAACAGUUGGAAACGACUGCUAAUACCGGAUGAUAUCGAAAGAUCAAAGAUUUAUCGCCCAGGGAUGACGCCCGCGUAGGAUUAGCUAGUUGGUGAGGUAAAGCUCACCAAGGCGACGAUCCUUAGCUGGUCU
This 239-nucleotide ribosomal RNA is filed under the name uncultured soil bacterium. RNAcentral's name for it is "partial 16S ribosomal RNA". It matches the Rfam family "Bacterial small subunit ribosomal RNA", at positions 26 to 293 of the family's 1533-position model. The record is from RNAcentral.